RNAcentral lists this ribosomal RNA (254 nucleotides) under uncultured bacterium. Its description in RNAcentral is "partial 16S ribosomal RNA". It matches the Rfam family "Bacterial small subunit ribosomal RNA", at positions 524 to 776 of the family's 1533-position model. The record is from RNAcentral.
GACAGAGGGUGCAAACGUUGUUCGGAAUUACUGGGCGUAAAGCGCGUGUAGGCGGUCUCGCAAGUCGGAUGUGAAAGCCCCGGGCUCAACCCGGGAAGUGCACUCGAUACUGUCGAGCUAGAGUAUCGGAGAGGUUGGUGGAAUUCUCGGUGUAGAGGUGAAAUUCGUAGAUAUCGAGAGGAACACCGGUGGCGAAGGCGGCCAACUGGACGAAUACUGACGCUGAGACUCGAAAGCGUGGGGGAGCAAACAGG